ACGACCCAGCAGCAGAAGUGAAGAUGAUGAAUCUGAAGAAGGAGGACUUACUGGCUACCCUCUUGCCAAGAGGUUUUCUCUGGCAAAUCCUUCUGUGCUCCUGCCCUCCAAGCCAAUGCCCCUCAUCCCAAGGAGCUCUUCCAAGCCAAUGAAGAGCUGCAUCGGAGAGCACGUUACUGGGAAAAGUGGCACUGG
Molecule: non-coding RNA, 195 nt
Organism: Cyanistes caeruleus (blue tit)
Lineage: Eukaryota; Metazoa; Chordata; Aves; Passeriformes; Paridae
Source: RefSeq, a predicted model, not a curated record